UGACAGACACACUCAGGCCUGGAGGGGAAUUACAACAAUAUUAAUAAUAUUAUUAGUAUACAGGUGUGACAGACACACUCAGGCCUGGAGGGGAAUUACAACAAUAUUAAUAAUAUUAUUAGUAUACAGGUGUGACAGACACUCAGGCCUGGAGGGAAUUACAACAAGAGAGAAUCCAAAUUGAAUGUAAUUAAUCAGUUCCGUGGUUGCCAUGGACAUUGUUUUAAGCAUUUUUUUUAAAUGACGUCUUGAGUGUUUGAGCUACAAUAUCUGGUGAAUUUGACCUAUGGAGUUUCUGGACUAAUGGCCAGUCAGUCAGGGUUUGGCUAGGUAGCUAGCUGGACUAAUGGCCAGUCAGUCAGGGUUUGGCUAGGUAGCUAGCUGGGCUAAUGGCCAGUCAGUCAGGGUUUGGCUAGGUAGCUAGCUGGACUAAUGGCCAGUCAGUCAGGGUUUGGCUAGGUAGCUAGCUGGGCUAAUGGCCAGUCAGUCAGUGUUUGGCUAGGUAGCAAGCUGGACUAAUGGCCAGUCAGUCAGGGUUUGGCUAGGUAGCUAGCUGGGCUAAUGGCCAGUCAGUCAGGGUUUGGCUAGGUAGCUAGCUGGGCUAAUGGCCAGUCAGUCAGGGUUUGGCUAGGUAGCUAGCUGGACUAAUGGCCAGUCAGUCAGGGUUUGGCUAGGUAGCUAGCUAGCUGGACUAAUGGCCAGUCAGUCAGGGUUUGGCUAGGUAGCUAGCUAGCUGGACUAAUGGCCAGUCAGUCAGGGUUUGGCUAGGUAGCUAGCUGGACUAAUGGCCAGUCAGUCAGGGUUUGGCUAGGUAGCUAGCUGGACUAAUGGCCAGUCAGUCAGGGUUUGGCUAGGUAGCAAGCUGGACUAAUGGCCAGUCAGUCAGGGUUUGGCUAGGUAGCAAGCUGGACUAAUGGCCAGUCAGUCAGGGUUUGGCUAGGUAGCAAGCUGGACUAAUGGCCAGUCAGUCAGGGUUUGGCUAGGUAGCAAGCUGGACUAAUGGCCAGUCAGUCAGGGUUUGGCUAGGUAGCAAGCUGGACUAAUGGCCAGUCAGUCAGGGUUUGGCUAGGUAGCAAGCUGGACUAAUGGCCAGUCAGUCAGGGUUUGGCUAGGUAGCUAGCUGGGCUAAUGGCCAGUCAGUCAGGGUUUGGCUAGGUAGCUAGCUGGACUAGGACUAAUGGCCAGUCAGACAGUGUUUGGCUAGGUAGCUAGCUGGGCUAAUGGCCAGUCAGUCAGUGUUUGGCUAGGUAGCUAGCUGGGCUAAUGGCCAGUCAGUCAGGGUUUGGCUAGGUAGCUAGCUAGCUGGACUAAUGGCCAGUCAGUCAGGGUUUGGCUAGAUAGCUAGCCGGGCUAAUGGCCAGUCAGUCAGUGUUUGGCUAGCUAGCUAGCUAGCUGGACUAAUGGCCAGUCAGUCAGUGUUUGGCUAGAUAGCUAGCUGGACUAAUGGCCAGUCAGUCAGGGUUUGGCUAGCUAGCUAGCUAGCUGGACUAAUGGCCAGUCAGUCAGUGUUUGGCUAGAUAGCUAGCCGGGCUAAUGGCCAGUCAGUCAGGGUUUGGCUAGAUAGCUAGCUGGACUGAUGGCUAGUCAGUCAGGGUUUGGCUAGGUAGCUAGCUAGCUAGCUGGACUAAUGGCCAGUCAGUCAGGGUUUGGCUAGCUAGCUAGCUAGACUAAUGGCCAGUCAGUCAGGGUUUGGCUAGAUAGCUAGCUGGGCUAAUGGCCAGCCAGUUUGUUUGUCUUGACUAGGUAGUUCGCUGGCUAUGCGGUCUUUUGAAUGAUGCAUCAACACAGCCCUGGUUCCAUGGACGAUAUGGACUGUGGUGGGAGGAGUUGAGAGGCCUCGUAAGGGCCUGUUCCUGACUAAUGCAGAGGUUCAGCCACCUAAACUGUGCAGUGUGUGUGUGUGUGUGUGUGCGUCUGUCUCACCGUGCAGUGUGUGUGCGCGUGCGUCUGUCUCACCGUGCAGUGUGUGUGUGUGUGUGCGUCUGUCUCACCGUGCAGUGUGUGUGCGCGUCUGUCUCACCGUGCAGUGUGUGUGUGCACGCGUCUGUCUCACCGUGCAGUGUGUGUGUGCGCGCGUCUGUCUCACCGUGCAGUGUGUGCGUGUGCGCGUCUGUCUCACCGUGCAGUGUGUGCGUGUGCGCGCGUCUGUCUCACCGUGCAGUGUGUGCGUGCGCGCGUCUGUCUCACCGUGCAGUGUGUGUGUGUGUGCGUCUGUCUCACCGUGCAGUGUGUGUGUGUGUGUGUGUG
Molecule: long non-coding RNA, 2247 nt
Organism: Oncorhynchus keta (chum salmon)
Lineage: Eukaryota; Metazoa; Chordata; Actinopteri; Salmoniformes; Salmonidae
Exons: 11
Source: RefSeq, a predicted model, not a curated record